Humulus lupulus (European hop) is the source of this 514-nucleotide long non-coding RNA. RefSeq lists it as uncharacterized. The record is from RefSeq and is a predicted model, not a curated record. The transcript is spliced from 3 exons. NCBI's taxonomy places the organism in Eukaryota, Viridiplantae, Streptophyta, Magnoliopsida, Rosales, Cannabaceae.
AGAAGAAAAAGGGUUCAAGCUAGGGUAAGGUUUUUGGUUGUUUUCCUUAUGAUUAAUCUAGUAUUUUGAUUGGGUUGUCUCUAACCUUGUUCAUCUUCUUCUCCAUCUUGAUUAUUCAAAAUAUACAACCCCUAGGGUUUGAGCAAGGAGGUUAUUGGAUUCUUGAUUGGAUUGGAUUCUUGAUUUUCUAUCAAGAAGAGGCUCGUUGAGAGGUUGUGAAAUUUCUUAGCUCGGACCUGAGGUAGCAAAUAGGAUUUCUCUGUGGCACGCGUGGUGACGUGAGGAGUUCUAUCGUCGUAGGGUGUAUGGCGUGGGGUAUCCUAUGGACGGAAUAAACGAUCACUUUAGGACGCCAUUUUAAAUAUGUUAUGUUUUAAGAGACUUUCUAAAUUAUCAGUGGGACUUAAUUAUUUAAUUUUGUUUCUUUUGAACUUUGCAUAAAAACUCAUAUUUUCUUUUUAAACUAAUGGGCCCAACUUGCAUUGUUUUAAGCAAGUCCCCACUGAGACCUUUA